GGAAGUAAAAGUCGUAACAAAGUUUCCGUAGGUGAACCUGCGGAAGGAUCAUUAUUGUAUAACCGAGGUGCGAGGGCUGUCGCUGACCCGACAGGUCGUGCACGCCCGAGUGCCCUCACACACAUCCAUCUCACCCCUAUGUGCACCACCGCGUGGGUCCCCCUUUGGCUUGUUCGGAGGGGGGCUUACGUUUUCACACAAACUUUGUAUGCAGUGUAGAAUGUAUUUUUUGUUUUUGCGAUCACGCAAUCAAUACAACUUUCAACAACGGAUCUCUUGGCUCUC
RNAcentral lists this unclassified non-coding RNA (285 nucleotides) under plant metagenome. RNAcentral's name for it is "partial contains small subunit ribosomal RNA, internal transcribed spacer 1, and 5.8S ribosomal RNA". The stretch from base 1 to 54 matches the Rfam family "Eukaryotic small subunit ribosomal RNA", at positions 1778 to 1831 of the family's 1831-position model. The record is from RNAcentral.